UACAGAGGUCCCAAGCGUUGUUCGGAUUCAUUGGGCGUAAAGGGUGCGUAGGUGGUGCUGUAAGUCAGGUGUGAAAUCUCGGGGCUCAACCCCGAAACUGCACUUGAUACUGCAGUGCUGGAGGACUGGAGAGGAGAUCGGAAUUCAUGGUGUAGCAGUGAAAUGCGUAGAUAUCAUGAGGAAGACCGGUGGCGAAGGCGGAUCUCUGGACAGUUCCUGACACUGAGGCACGAAGGCUAGGGGAGCAAACAGG
RNAcentral lists this ribosomal RNA (253 nucleotides) under uncultured bacterium. Its description in RNAcentral is "partial 16S ribosomal RNA". It matches the Rfam family "Bacterial small subunit ribosomal RNA", at positions 524 to 776 of the family's 1533-position model. The record is from RNAcentral.